Molecule: ribosomal RNA, 537 nt
Filed under: uncultured bacterium
Lineage: Bacteria
Description: bacterial SSU rRNA
Rfam family: Bacterial small subunit ribosomal RNA
Source: RNAcentral
CCCCACGACUGGGAGUACGGCCGCAAGGCUAAAACUCAAAGGAAUUGACGGGGCCCGCGACAAGCGGCGAGCAUGCGGAUUAAUUCGAUGCAACGCGAAGAACCUUACCAAGGCUUGACAUGUUCUCGAUCGCCGUAGAGAUACGGUUCCCCUUUGGGGCGGGUUCACAGGUGGUGCAUGGCUGUCGUCAGCUCGUGUCGUGAGAUGUUGGGUUAAGUCCCGCAACGAGCGCAACCCUCGUGUUUAGUUGCCAUCAUUAAGUUGGGCACUCUAAACAGACUGCCGGUGACAAACCGGAGGAAGGUGGGGAUGACGUCAAGUCAGCAUGCCCCUUACGUCCUGGGCUACACACGUACUACAAUGGUAGGGACAGAGGGCAGCCAACCCGCGAGGGCGAGCUAAUCCCGUAAACCCUGCCUCAGUUCAGAUUGCAGGCUGCAACUCGCCUGCAUGAAGGCGGAAUCGCUAGUAAUCGCAGGUCAGCAUACUGCGGUGAAUCCGUUCCCGGGCCUUGUACACACCGGGUCGACGCGGCCG